This 69-nucleotide transfer RNA is filed under the name Rattus norvegicus (Norway rat). It matches the Rfam family "tRNA". From Rfam's summary of the family: Transfer RNA (tRNA) molecules are approximately 80 nucleotides in length. Their secondary structure includes four short double-helical elements and three loops (D, anti-codon, and T loops). Lineage: Eukaryota; Metazoa; Chordata; Mammalia; Rodentia; Muridae. The record is from Rfam by way of RNAcentral.
GGGGAUUAAGCUCAGUGGUAGAGUGCUUGCCUAGCAAGCACAAGGCCCUGGGUUCGGUCCCCAGCUCCG